AGGUGCGAUCAUUACCAGCACAUAAUGACACCGGGGAUCCACAUCAAGAACUCCGCAGGUAAGCGUGCUUGGGCGAGAGUAGUACUAGGAUGGGUGACCUCCUGUGAAGUGCUCGUGUUGCACCUCUUUUUUUCACGGGAGGUAGCAUUAACGGACUCG
This is a non-coding RNA of Lupinus albus (white lupine), 159 nucleotides long. Lineage: Eukaryota; Viridiplantae; Streptophyta; Magnoliopsida; Fabales; Fabaceae. The record is from the annotation of a GenBank genome assembly.